Columba livia (rock pigeon) is the source of this 3632-nucleotide RNA transcript. It is a transcript of the gene named vesicle transport through interaction with t-SNAREs 1B, with no coding region annotated. Lineage: Eukaryota; Metazoa; Chordata; Aves; Columbiformes; Columbidae. The record is from RefSeq and is a predicted model, not a curated record. The transcript has 7 exons.
GCGCCAACAGUCUCGUCGCAACGCGUGGGGAGCAGGCCGCGGCGGGAUGCCCGCGCUGCCGCCGUCGCGGCGUCGUUUUGCAGUCAGGCGGCGUUCCGGGCAGCCAGCACGCUGCCGCGGGUGACGGAAGUGCCUUCAAGGCAGCAGCGCGGUGUCGCGCAGCCGCGGGGAGGUGGUACCGGCGGCCGUCGCCGAGCGCGGCGGGAGGCGGCUGCCUGCUAUGGCGGGCCGCGGCUCCGGCUCCUCGGAGCACCUGGAGCGGCUGCACGACAUCUUCCAGGCACUGCACAGAGACCUGCGGGGCGUCCCCGAGCGGUUGCGGGGCAGCGCGGCCGAGGAGAAGAAAAAACUAGUUCGAGAAUUUGAUGAGAAACAGCGUGAAGCAAAUGAAACGCUGCGGGAAAUGGAGGAAGAACUGAAGUAUGCUCCUCUGCCUUUCCGCAACCAAAUGAUGAGCAAAAUCCGGGCGUAUAGAAGAGACCUCUCCAUGUUCCAGAGAGAGAUGAGAAGCACAGAUUUGGGACUGGGCUCUGGAAGUCAAGGCGAUAUGAAAUACGGGAUCUUCUCCACAGAAAAUGAACAGAGUACUAAUCUGCAGUCACAGAGGGUGCUGCUUCUCCAGGGAACAGACAGCCUGAACCGAGCCAGUCAGAGCAUCGAGCGCUCGCACCGAAUUGCUGCUGAAACAGAUCAGAUUGGCACAGAUAUCAUUGAAGAACUUGGGGAGCAGCGGGAGCAACUGGAACGCACCAAGAGCAGAUUGGUGAAUACAAGUGAGAACUUGAGCAAGAGUCGCAAGAUUCUACGUUCCAUGUCCAGGAGAAUAACCACUAACAAGUUGUUGCUGUCAAUCAUCAUCAUCCUGGAACUCGCCAUCCUAGUAGGUGUGGUCUACUACAAGUUCUUUCGCAGCAGAUGAAUCUUCAUGACUAGGAAGAGCUUUUCCACUGCUGAGGAAGUGGAUGAGCUGUCUGUUCCAUCUGACCUACUGAGGAUUGAACUGUCUCAUGAGACAGCAUGUUCAGCUGAAAGUGUACUGACACUAGAAAGACAGAAUGUGAGGAAAAGGAAAAUGCAGAGACAGACUUGAAUUACUGAAAGCCAGGGUGAAAGGCUGAAAUAUUGAUUUACAUGGCAUCUAGGACAGAGGAAGCACCAAGCUUGGGGAUUUCAUAGACAGCUCAUCAAGAUGAAUGAGACAUUCUGCAUUUUUCAGGUCAAUAGUUGAAGGAUGCCUGUGAACUGUGUGUAAGCCUAGUUAAAGAAAAAGUGAAGGAUAAUCUCAAACUGGAAAUGUUAGUUACAUGUACUGCAUUAAGUCUGACAACUGAUGGCACACUUAAUAAAUGGCACACUGCUUGCAACUCAGAUGACCUAUCUAUCUAUGUUGUAGGCUCUGUACUUCCAACUCACUGUAGAUGUUCAGUAGGGAGGAGCAUCUGGAUUAGCACUUUCUUUACAUGGCACAGCUGCAGCGAGGAAGAGGGCGCACACUUGCAGAUACAACAGCAUGCAGCACAGAUCCAUGGACCUUGUUCUGCUUACAGGACUUUGUUCUGCCCCAUGGGAAGAGGUUACCCUUUCUAGCUCUGAUCCUCUCCCAGUGUCCCUGGACUGGCAUGAUUUGCUCCCUGAUCUGGUUCCCCAAACUUGCACAAGGUCAGAGACAUCAGUACUGAACCGAAGUCAGGGAGUGGUUAGAGCAAACUUCACCAGCUGAACUGAAAGUGGCCUUUGUCCUCAGGACAGCAGAUGCUUAGUGUAAGGUGGAAGCCAACAAAUGCUUCUUCCUCAUGUGCUAACAGCUGAAUUCAAGUUGCUAUACAUACAUGUUUUAAAGUGUAAUGCAUACCCUAGAUUCUGAGUUGGUUAAAACAUCUUGUCAAACUGUAGAAUUCCUCAAGAAACAGAACUAAUUAAAUAAUACAGAGCCACAACUGUAGUGACUGUAACCUAUCACGUAGCUUUUUGUCAAACACUGUGAAAUGGUUCCAGUUCAAGACGUGGAAUUUGAGGACUAAAGUCAGUGCUAAAACUUUACUAUUUACUGGACACUGUCACAGUUCUGUUAGGCCACCUUACAUCGAGAGUGAUGUUCACUUAAAUAACUUCCAGGAAAGUAGAUAUUCAACAAAUGGAUGAUAAAGAGUAAUGUAAAUCAGAUAAUUUGUUACCUGCCCAUCAGUUGUUCAAAUGUUCUUUCCAUAACUUUCUGAAUUCCAAGGCGAUCAAUAUCCCUCAUGGAAAAAUACUGGAUGUCAUAGUUCUUCAAAAUAUAGCUGUUAAAAUAUUUUUUUUUUAAAUCAUUACUGGCCUAAGCUUAAAUGUAGCAACCUUUGUGAACAGCCAGAUAUGGAAAGAAGCUCAAUGACUUUAAUCUAAGUCAACUUACUAUUCAGCAGGAUCCAGAUCCCUCAAACCAAUGUACACAAUAUCAGAUGGUGAAAGGCAGGGCUUUAGCCAGGAAAAGCCAGGAAGCUGUGGUACCUGCAAGCAAAGGUUUGGUAUUAGGUUAGUUUAAUGACAUAUAUAACAAAACCGUAUUUAAUGCUUCCCUCAGAACUUUAUUUAUAGCUCUCUUUCUCUGUCUAAACAGAGAAACUUCAUCACUUUAGAGUCUGGCUUCCUGAUUUAAUCAGUCCUUACUUCUGUCAUACCAUUUUACCUGAGUAGAAUGUUAAUGGAUGAAGGUUUAAACUCUUCUACAUUUUCCAGUUUGAAAAGGAGGAAUGAAAACCCCAAAUCCACAACCAAUAGAUAACUGGCAUCAGUGAAUGUGAUGGGGAAAUGCUAAGAAAGUGGAGGUCACUUAUACAGUGCAUUUAAUGGUAAUGCUAUGUAGCUUACACAGUACAUCAUAUUCAAGUGGAAGAAUAAAAACCAAGGCACCUGUAUCUUUUUAGGAGACUCACCAAAAAGUCAUACAGACUUUGUUGCAAAAACAAUGUUAAAGAUAGAAGAAUUCAAACUGGGAAGUUUAAAAAAAUAGAAAAAAAGAGCAUGACAAGAAGUUGGGCCUCCACAUUGGGCUACAUCACACUGUUUUUUAAUGUAGAACUGAAGAGAGCAGAUUUAAGACAGCAAACAAAAGAGGACAAGGUCAUAAUUUUUCAGCUUUAGUAAUUAUAAAAAUCCUUCAGUUAGUAAUAUCUACUAAUUUUAGGAGUGCUUUAAAUUAACUCAAUUUUUUUCUUCUUCGUCUCCCAGCUCUGAAAACAGCUGUCAAGCAGCAAGAAGGCUUUGUUUCCCUCUUGUACUUUUCAAUUACUAAUUCUAUUCUAGUUACAAAUUUUGAAUUUGUUUUUAAAGGCUAACACACCCAUAGCUGCAUUUAAUUACAUUGAGAUUAAAUAAGCACAUGUAAUAAAUGUAUUUGUUACUCUGAGGCAAUGAUCUUUUUCUGCAGUCAUGAAUUCAGAAGAGAUAAAUGAAAUGGAGACCACUAGGAAAAAUAACUCAGGUCUCAGAAAUGAAGCUGUAUCUGCAAAACCCAUCACCAUACCAUAAGUUGAGCAUAGUUUUGAUAAUAUUGUCAUACUGUCUAGUAUCAAUUAUUUAGUAGAUUUAAUACUGCCAUAUUUAAUUAUACCUCUUCCUCUUUAAAUAAAGAAAAUGGAAAUGGAAUGCCUUCA